Molecule: ribosomal RNA, 908 nt
Filed under: uncultured bacterium
Lineage: Bacteria
Description: bacterial SSU rRNA
Rfam family: Bacterial small subunit ribosomal RNA
Source: RNAcentral
ACGCUGGCGGCAGGCUUAACACAUGCAAGUCGAACGGUAACAGGGAUUAGCUUGCUAAUCUGCUGACGAGUGGCGGACGGGUGAGUAAUGCUUGGGAAUCUGGCUUAUGGAGGGGGAUAACUACGGGAAACUGUAGCUAAUACCGCGUAAAAUCUUCGGAUUAAAGGGUGGGACUUUCGAGCCACCUGCCAUAAGAUGAGCCCAAGUGGGAUUAGGUAGUUGGUUAGGUAAAGGCUGACCAAGCCGACGAUCUCUAGCUGGUCUGAGAGGAUGACCAGCCACACUGGAACUGAGACACGGUCCAGACUCCUACGGGAGGCAGCAGUGGGGAAUAUUGCACAAUGGGGGGAACCCUGAUGCAGCCAUGCCGCGUGAAUGAAGAAGGCCUUCGGGUUGUAAAGUUCUUUCGGUGACGAGGAAGGUUGGUAGGUUAAUAGCCUAUCAAAUUGACGUUAAUCACAGAAGAAGCACCGGCUAACUCCGUGCCAGCAGCCGCGGUAAUACGGGGGGUGCGAGCGUUAAUCGGAAUAACUGGGCGUAAAGGGCACGCAGGCGGUGACUUAAGUGAGAUGUGAAAGCCCCGAGCUUAACUUGGGAAUUGCAUUUCAUACUGGGUCGCUAGAGUACUUUAGGGAGGGGUAGAAUUCCACGUGUAGCGGUGAAAUGCGUAGAGAUGUGGAGGAAUACCGAAGGCGAAGGCAGCCCCUUGGGAAUGUACUGACGCUCAUGUGCGAAAGCGUGGGGAGCAAACAGGAUUAGAUACCCUGGUAGUCCACGCUGUAAACGAUGUCGAUUUGGGGAUUGGGCUUUGAGCUUGGUGCCCGUAGCUAACGUGAUAAAUCGACCGCCUGGGGAGUACGGCCGCAAGGUUAAAACUCAAAUGAAUUGACGGGGGCCCGCACAAGCGG